CUGAGCUUUAGUAAGAAAAGAUUAAUUGAUCAUUUUAUUUCAGACUGAACAAGUGUACACUGAAUACUUAAUAAUGCAUGAUAGCUUUUUUCUAGGAGUUUUUAUAUAUCCUUUUACAUUUGUCUUCUCCAAAUCCUAUGAGAUAGAUAUCAUUACGCUCUCUCUGUUAAUAAGGAUUAUGAAAGUAAAUAAAGAGAAGUGAGCCACUACUGUACACAUGCUGAGUUCUCCAGAAUCAGAAUAUGGCACCAGACUCUCUAAUUUUAGAUCUAAUUCUCUUUCCACAGCACCAGAGAAAGAGAGUCAGAACUUCAUGUGAGAUCAAGGGAUGGAGCAGGAGGAGAUUACUUCAGUUCUUGGAAUGAAUUGUUCUUUCAGACAAGAAGCACACCUUAAACUCAAAUCGAGAAAAAUAUUUCCUAUAGAAGAAACUCAUAAACUCCAUAUUCUCUUGACAAUCCAUCUGGGCCACCCACCUGAUCAUGAUUGCCUACACAGUGGCAGAAUGAUGGCAUUUAGAAGCCCCCCGUACAUAGUUGUAUAUUCUUCAUUGUGGGUCCUUCUAGUUGUGGCAUGUGGGAUGUUGCCUCAGCGUGGUUUGAUGAGCAGUGCCAUGUCCGCGCCCAGGAUUCGAACCAACGAAACACUGGGCCGCCUGCAGUGGAGCUUGCGAACUUAACCACUCGGCCAUGGGGACAGCCCCUCAACCCUUUUAUUUUAACAAUUUCACCUGAUGAGUGAGAUGGUUGUCUUCAGAGCCAUGCAGUCAUUUGUGUCAAAAAUAGGAAUAGUUUUCAAAUUCUUAUUCCCAGUCAAGAACCACCUACCACACCACUGGUAUCUGUCAUCUCAAUGGAGCUAAUGAAGAUUUGGUCAGCUUCUAUAUGACAUCUUUUGGGUGACAGAAGACCUGGCUUUUUCUUGUUCAUUAAGCUACUAUGCAGUAUCAAUAUGUAGAAGCUUAACUUUUUGGAAUUAUGUAACUAUAGAACAAGAAAGCAUAAGUGAAAAGUUACUAGAAGUUGGAAAAAAAGCAAGGAGAAAGAGCAUCAUUAAAUAGUAUACUUUGGUUUUCUUUUAUUUUGUCACGGUGUUUGAAAUAUUUUCAAUGUUUAUUCUCUAAUC
RNAcentral lists this long non-coding RNA (1125 nucleotides) under Equus caballus (horse). RNAcentral describes it as "lncRNA (ENSECAG00000027951.3)". Lineage: Eukaryota; Metazoa; Chordata; Mammalia; Perissodactyla; Equidae. The record is from RNAcentral.